GGUUCCAAGUCCAGGAUGGCAAACCUCAAGGAUCAGCUAAUUGUGAGUCUUCUUAAGGAAGAACAGGUCCCACAGAAUAAAAUUACAGUUGUUGGGGUUGGUCCUGUUGGCAUGGUCUGUGCCAUCAGUAUCUUAAUGAAAGACUUGACAGAUGAACUUGCUCUUGUUGAUGUCAUGGAAGACAGACUGAAGGGAGAGAUGACGGAUCUCCAGCAUGGCAGCCUUUUCCUUAAAACACCAAAAAUUGUCUCUGGGAAAGACUAGAGUGUGACUGUGAACUCCAAGCUGGUUAUCAUCAGAGCUGGAGCAUGGCAACAGGAGGAGGAGAGCUGUCUCAAUUUGGUCUAGCGUAAUAUGAAAUCUUCAAGUUCAUCCUCCCUAAUGUUAUGAAGUACAGUCCAAAUUGCAAGUUGUUUGUUGUUUUGAAUCCAAUGGAUAUCCUGUUUUAUGUGGCUUGGAAGAUAAAUGGUUUUCCCAAAAACUGAGUUUUUGGAAGUAGUUGCAAUCUGGAUUCAGCCUGGUUCCAUUACCUGAGCAUUCAUCCACUGGGCUGUCACUGGUGGACCCUUGGGGAGCAUAGGGACUCGAGUGUGCCUCUGUGGAGUGGCAUGAAUGUUGCUGGUAUCUCCCUGAAGAAUCUGAACCCAGAAUUGGGCACUGAUGCAGAUAAGGAGUAGUGGAAGGAGGUUCACAAACAGGUGGCUGACAGUGCCUUUGAGGUGAUCAAACUGAAAGGUUAUAUGUCCUGGGCCACUGGACUCUGUGGCAGAUCUUGCAGAGGUAUAAUUGAGAAUCUUAGGCAGGUGCAUCGAACUGCGGCCAUGAUUAAAGGUCUCUAAGGAAUAAAGGAUGCUGUCUACCUUAGUGUACCUGCAUCCUGGGACAGAAUGGGAUCUUAGACAUUGUGAAGAUGACUCUGAUCCCAGAACAAGAGGCCCGCCUGAGGAAGUGCACAGAUACCGUCUGGAGAAUUCAGAAAGAGCUGCAGCUUUAA
RNA transcript from Nannospalax galili (Upper Galilee mountains blind mole rat), 994 nucleotides. It is a transcript of the gene named L-lactate dehydrogenase A chain pseudogene, with no coding region annotated. The transcript has a single exon. NCBI's taxonomy places the organism in Eukaryota, Metazoa, Chordata, Mammalia, Rodentia, Spalacidae. The record is from RefSeq and is a predicted model, not a curated record.